GAUAGUGUGGCCGAUUAGUCUAUGGCGCUGGUUUUAGGCACCAGUCUCUUCGGAGGCAAGGGCUCGAAUCCCUUCACUGUCA
This 82-nucleotide transfer RNA is filed under the name Daphnia pulex (common water flea). It matches the Rfam family "tRNA". From Rfam's summary of the family: Transfer RNA (tRNA) molecules are approximately 80 nucleotides in length. Lineage: Eukaryota; Metazoa; Arthropoda; Branchiopoda; Diplostraca; Daphniidae. The record is from Rfam by way of RNAcentral.